This 634-nucleotide ribosomal RNA is filed under the name Sphingobacterium multivorum. Its description in RNAcentral is "bacterial SSU rRNA". It matches the Rfam family "Bacterial small subunit ribosomal RNA", at positions 218 to 852 of the family's 1533-position model. Lineage: Bacteria; Pseudomonadati; Bacteroidota; Sphingobacteriia; Sphingobacteriales; Sphingobacteriaceae. The record is from RNAcentral.
GAUAGAGAUGGGCUCGCGUGACAUUAGCUAGUUGGUAGGGUAACGGCUUACCAAGGCGACGAUGUCUAGGGGCUCUGAGAGGAGAAUCCCCCACACUGGUACUGAGACACGGACCAGACUCCUACGGGAGGCAGCAGUAAGGAAUAUUGGUCAAUGGGCGGAAGCCUGAACCAGCCAUGCCGCGUGCAGGAUGACUGCCCUAUGGGUUGUAAACUGCUUUUGUCCAGGAAUAAACCUUUAUACGUGUAGGGAGCUGAAUGUACUGGAAGAAUAAGGAUCGGCUAACUCCGUGCCAGCAGCCGCGGUAAUACGGAGGAUCCGAGCGUUAUCCGGAUUUAUUGGGUUUAAAGGGUGCGUAGGCGGCCUAUUAAGUCAGGGGUGAAAUACGGUGGCUCAACCAUCGCAGUGCCUUUGAUACUGAUGGGCUUGAAUCCAUUUGAAGUGGGCGGAAUAAGACAAGUAGCGGUGAAAUGCAUAGAUAUGUCUUAGAACUCCGAUUGCGAAGGCAGCUCACUAAGCUGGUAUUGACGCUGAUGCACGAAAGCGUGGGGAUCGAACAGGAUUAGAUACCCUGGUAGUCCACGCCCUAAACGAUGAUAACUCGAUGUUGGCGAUAGACAGCCAGCGUCCAAGC